RNA transcript from Lathyrus oleraceus (garden pea), 3966 nucleotides. It is a transcript of the gene named cyclin-dependent kinase G-2, with no coding region annotated. The transcript has 8 exons. The record is from RefSeq and is a predicted model, not a curated record. Lineage: Eukaryota; Viridiplantae; Streptophyta; Magnoliopsida; Fabales; Fabaceae.
AUCGUAACAGUAUCAGUAAUCCAUAUUUUUAUUUUCUUCUCUUUCGGUCACACGACGCCUCGUCUCUUUCUCCUCGAACCUUCUCUAUCUCUUUCUCUUUCUCUCUUAUUCUAUUCCAUCGCAUAGCUCAAUCGAUCGUGCUUCCUCUUUCUCGCAAUUUCCCUUUCAAUAUUCAAUUUCAUCAUCGCUAAGGUAAUCCUUUUCAAUUUCUCUAUUGUUUUUUCUCCCUUUCAAUCCUUUCCUUUAUUUCUAGGGUUUCGAUUCAAAUCCCAAUUUUCCUUCCUAUUAUUGUUUCGCAUCAUUUUUCUCUCUUUGUUUUGUAUUGUUCCUUGACCUCUAGUUGUCAUCGAAUCUCACUUUUGUUUUUCAAUUUUGAAAUUCGGAGCAUUCUUUGUGUUUUGGGUUUAGGUUUAGGUUUAGGUUUAGGGUUCUGAUAAACAAAUACAAAAAAAAAGUUUGUUGGGAAGGAAGGAUUAGGUUUUUCCCUCAGAAUUUAUCAUUUUAGAUAGAUAGAUAGAUUUAUAUGGCUGCUGGUAGACAUGGCCGUUAUCACGGAAGCGAGUUUAAGGAUCAUGAGUCCAAUUUGGAAGUUAAUAGGCGCGGGUUUUCAAAUUCCAAAGAGUAUGAUCGGGUUAGGAAUGGUGGUCACGAUGAUGUCAGGAGUGGGAGUAGAGAUUCCAGAGAUAAGAUUAGGAUGAGGCAGAAGGAUGUUAGGGAGAGAGAAACGGUUGUUAAUGGUAGUUAUCGGUCAGCUUCUAGCCGGAGUGACUCUGGAAGCAGUGGCAGCCUUGGCCCUCGUCGGUGUGGUUUUUCUGCAAAGACAAUUGAUAGAGAGCCUGGCGAGCUUUCUAGUGAGAGUGGGUCUGAUGGUGCUACUGAAUCUGAGACUGGGUUGAAAGACUGUGAUGUUGCUGUGUUUGAAGGGAACAGGUCACGGUCCCCUCCUCCACAGGAGAGGAAAAGGAAAUUUUCACCCAUUGUGUGGGAUCAGGAUGACAAGGAAGUGAAGGGUUCAUCCAAAGUUAGGGUUUCCACUACAACGGUGACUGCUCUCCCUCCUCUGCCUCAGCUUUCAAAAUCGGCUGUUCUGUCUCCGAAUUCUUCUUCUGGAGAAGUUCAAAUACGUUCUGUUAGGAACAGAGAAACUGGGGAUCUUGAGUUGCCCGCAGAAGCUCAGGUUACUGUUCCUUCUCCUUCCAGAUUGCAGUCCCUGUCACCAAAAGAGACUUUGGGUAAUGAUCAGGAAGCUGAGCAGCCAGAAGGUGAAGAUUAUGUUCCAACUCGUAAUAUAUCAUCUUCAAGGUGGGCAGCAGGAGAUAACUCUCCUGUUGACGAGGGUGAAAUUCUCAAUGAUGAGGAAAUGCCUAAAAGGAAGAGGAGGCUAUCUCCUGAGUUGUUCGAGACUAGAGGGAGGAAUAAGUUAUUGAGCCCCAAUGAAUCUAAAGUAGGUAGUUUUGAAGGAGCUAGAGCCAAAUCAUCUGAUUCGGAAGAAAGAAGUGUUAUCCAUGGGAGAACGUCUAGUGGCGAUGGACAUCCUGGUAUUGAAUCAGAAAAGGAUGACUAUAUGAACAUUGAUCUUCGAGGUACGAAAAGUGACGCCAGUAUUAGUCACUCUGAUACAGAAUCUGAAGAUGACGAUGAUAGGCAGGAGACUCCAGAACCUCCAGCUCAACCUCAAAGAACUGUCAACAUGCUUCAGGGUUGUAGAAGUGUUGAUGAGUUUGAGAGACUUAACAAGAUUGAUGAAGGAACAUAUGGUGUUGUAUAUAGAGCGAAAGAUAAGAAGACUGGGGAAGUUGUAGCAUUAAAGAAGGUCAAGAUGGAGAAGGAAAAAGAAGGUUUCCCACUGACUUCUCUUAGGGAAAUAAAUGUUCUUCUCUCUUUUCACCACCCAUACAUAGUUGAUGUCAAGGAAGUAGUGGUUGGAAGUAGCCUUGAUAGUAUUUUCAUGGUUAUGGAAUACAUGGAACAUGAUCUUAAAGGAUUAAUGGAGUCAAUGAAGCAGCCGUUUAGCCAAAGUGAAGUGAAGUGCUUAAUGAUCCAACUUUUAGAAGGUGUGAAGUAUCUUCAUGACAACUGGGUACUUCAUAGGGAUUUGAAGACUUCAAACCUGCUUUUAAAUAACAGGGGUGAGCUAAAAAUUUGUGAUUUUGGGUUGGCUCGUCAAUAUGGGAGUCCUUUGAAACCAUAUACUCACCUGGUGGUUACUCUUUGGUACAGGGCACCCGAACUUCUUCUUGGGGCAAGACAGUACUCAACAGCUAUUGAUAUGUGGUCUCUUGGUUGUAUAAUGGCCGAACUUUUGUCUAAGGAACCACUUUUCAAUGGAAAAACGGAAUUUGAUCAGCUUGACAAGAUUUUCAGGAUACUUGGCACUCCAAAUGAAACAAUUUGGCCGGGCUUCUCGAAAUUGCCAGGAGUCAAGGUCAAUUUUGUCAAGCACCAGUAUAAUCUUCUGCGUAAAAAGUUCCCUGCCACGUCAUUCACUGGAUCUCCAGUUCUUUCUGAUUCUGGAUUUGAUUUGUUGAACAAGCUUCUAACUUAUGACCCUGAAAAGAGGAUCACGGCUGAAGCCGCUCUCAAUCAUGAAUGGUUUCGUGAAGUUCCUCUUCCCAAGAGCAAAGAAUUCAUGCCUACAUUUCCUGCUCAACAUGCUCAGGACAGGCGGUUGCGUAGAAUGUACAAGAGUCCAGAUCCUUUAGAGGAGCAGCGGCGGAAGGAGUUGCAGCAAGGUGAUUUGGGCACUGGUGGAAUUUUUGGUUAAGAUUGGAGCUAUUUAAACCUAUGUCUAAACAGUCAUUCUUACAUGCCACACUGAUUGUUUGCAUUGAUGAGGUGAGGGCAUGCACUGAACGAAAGUUGCAAGCUUUGUUUGUUAGACAAUCACUCCUGCUGUUUUUUAGCAGGAACUUGUUGGUUUGAGCAGAGAUGUAAUGUAUUCAUUUACCUCCUGGAAUCAGAUUUUUCAGGUGGUUGGUGUGAAGUGGAAGAGGGCCUUCUAUGCAUUUCAUUGGAGAAAAUGACGGAUUUAUUAUGCUUGAAAGCAGUAUCGACGGAAGCAGGUUGAGGAGGAUAUCAGGAUAUCCUAAAGUAUAGGAGAUCAAUUAGUUGUCCUUCAGGCUCUCUAGAGGUACAGUGCAAAUCUUGGUUUGUCAUUUUAUGUUUUGUACUACUUGCAUCUCCAUGGAAUAUUAGAUCAGAGUUGUUUGCUUUUCUAUUUUGUUACACAUGCUGUAUUAAUUCAGAGUAUAGACCAUCAUCAAGCAUCUUCAUUAAAUGGGAUAUGUGGUGGUUUAUGACAUUUAUAGUAAUUCUUCAUUAAAUGGAUUUUCUGUCAAAUUCACUGACUAGUCUAUCGAGCAUCUUCCAGAGCAAGGCCGCAACAUUGUUGUUGGGAAACUCAUCUUCCGUAAGAGUCAUUGUUAUGAAAUUUCCCCUCAGCAAACUUAAUUCAUAUUGACUAGGAUUUGUAUAUUGUAUAUUUCUGAUUGCUUCUGGAUCUUACUGACCAUGUUUUUACGUUAGGCUCGGUAAUAUGUAGGUUUACUAUGCUAAAUUCCAUGUUUCAAUUUCAAUCAUGCUUCAAAAAUGGCGCAAGGUUUCCUGGCUUUUGUAUGCUUGCUACAAGACACCCAAAUUGGGUAAUUUACAAGAUACCCAAAUUCUCGAUUCUAUGUUCUGAUUUUCUAUGAUAAACUAAGUGUCUCCAUUUGUUUAAUAACUCCCAUGUCUAUGUUCUGACUUCCUAUGGCAAACCAGGUGUCUCCAAUUGUCUAAUACUUGAACAUUACAAAGAUUGUUUCGUCUGAUGCUACGCUGUUACAUCAAACUAUGCCUUCUUUGUUCCAAUGAAAAAUUAAUGGUUUUGAAAGUUGAGUGUUUCUGUUACGUCAAACCAUGAUUUUUUUCUUGAUGCUUUAAUCAUCUAUUACUCACAUUAAAGGAAAUCUAAUUUUAACAACUACA